This is a non-coding RNA of Rhodocollybia butyracea, 89 nucleotides long. The record is from the annotation of a GenBank genome assembly. NCBI's taxonomy places the organism in Eukaryota, Fungi, Basidiomycota, Agaricomycetes, Agaricales, Omphalotaceae.
UCCAGUGUGGUGUAGUGGCUAGCAUCGCUGUCUUUCGUAUGUAUGCAUAGGAAUGUAGCAGCUCGGGGGCUCAAUUCCCCGCACUAGUU